AUGAACGCUAGCGGCAGGCUUAACACAUGCAAGUCGAGGGGCAGCACGGGUAGCAAUACCUGGUGGCGACCGGCGCAAGGGUGCGUAACGCGUGAGCAACAUGCCCUAUACAGGGGGAUAAUCCAGGGAAACUUGGUCUAAUAUCCCAUAGCAUUUAGAGGAGGCAUCUUCACUAAAUUAAAGCUUCGGUGGUAUAGGAUUGGCUCGCGUGACAUUAGCUAGAUGGUGAGGUAACGGCCCACCAUGGCUAUGAUGUCUAGGGGUUCUGAGAGGAAGACCCCCCACACUGGGACUGAGACACGGCCCAGACUCCUACGGGAGGCAGCAGUGAGGAAUAUUGGACAAUGGAUGGAAAUCUGAUCCAGCCAUGCCGCGUGCAGGAAGACGGCCCUAUGGGUUGUAAACUUCUUUUAGAUGGGAAGAAAAUGCUAGAUGUAUCUGGUACUGACGGUACCAUCAGAAUAAGCACCGGCUAACUCCGUG
Molecule: ribosomal RNA, 483 nt
Filed under: uncultured bacterium
Lineage: Bacteria
Description: bacterial SSU rRNA
Rfam family: Bacterial small subunit ribosomal RNA
Source: RNAcentral